RNAcentral lists this ribosomal RNA (393 nucleotides) under Triticum aestivum (bread wheat). Its description in RNAcentral is "partial small subunit ribosomal RNA". The record is from RNAcentral. Lineage: Eukaryota; Viridiplantae; Streptophyta; Magnoliopsida; Poales; Poaceae.
AUGCUUCUACCUGAAGCACAUAUUUUGUUCUUUUCUUCAAUGGGGUUUGUUUUUCUUUACCAUUUCAUUUUAAGGCCUUUAAGAAAACAAUUCUUGGCCUUAUUUUUUAUAUUUGCCUGUAUUUUCUCUCUCUCAUUGUGCUACAUGAAAUGUGAAUGCAAGAUCUCUCACAACUAUUUCUUUCUAUCAUUUUUUCCUCUAAUCUCCAAUCAUUGUUCAUGCUUUAUUACUACAGGAAUGCAAGGUAUAUUAUCUAGAAAUAGAUCGCUUCAACCUGAUGUCCAUGAUGGUGUCAUGCUCGAUUUGAUUCUGGAGGCUUUCUUUGCUCAAUAUAGGGAUUGUGACAUGUUUGGGUGGUCUGCAAUGUGGACUUGUACAUUUCACGGUAUAUAA